Long non-coding RNA from Cyprinus carpio carpio, 2053 nucleotides. The record is from Ensembl. NCBI's taxonomy places the organism in Eukaryota, Metazoa, Chordata, Actinopteri, Cypriniformes, Cyprinidae.
AUGUACCGAGGUGCGGGCACCCGUCAGCUGCAACAUGAGCCACCGUGGGAGGGACGUGAAAUGUGGCCAUGGUUCUCGGUGGCUUUAAUGCCGUUACGAGGAGGCAGAAACAGGGCCGACCCCGGGGGCCUCCAGGGCCCAGUAAGCCAGUGGCAGGUCCACUUCAUCACCUCUCCUCCGAAUGAACUCUGGCUGAACCCCUCUGCUGUGGUUAUUUUCGCUGGCAUCUGCCGCUCCACGGCCGCCGACAUGAGGCCAAAUGUGCUGUUUAGUUGCUCCAUUCGUUCACCUCUUGUUCGACUGGGUUAAUACUUACUGGAUGCUGUGGGGAAGGUAAAUGCACACACACACACACACAUACAGAGAGGCAGCAAACUCUCAGAGCAGAGUGUGUGUCAUGAAUAAUACAGGAUGGAAGUUUGACCAGUGGCCUGUGGCAGAGAGUUUGUGUGCAGGUUUGAGAUUGAGGAAAGUAUUACGCUAUUUCAUACACUCACAUCUGAUUAUAAAAACGGAGGCUUGAUGUUGUGUUCAGUCAGUGUUCUGUUUACACUAAGUCAGAUUCCACUGAACAACAAAAGUAUAAAGUAUUUGCAUCAACACAGUUUCAUGCAAAAUGUUCAUCAUGAAAAAAAGUACUUAAAUUAAUUGUUUUUGCAUCCGAACUUUUAAACAACGUGAACAGAAUAACACAAAUAAUUAAUAGAUCAUCACAGUAUGAUAUUUCAGUCUAAAUAGGUUUUAAGAAAUACAUUGUUUUGGGGAAUAAUUUUUGGACUUGGUGUGAAUAGGACUUUAUGUUCCAUCUCAAAACUGGCUCUCGAUGUAUUCAUUGUUAACCCAUGCAGUUGUUCUGGUUAAACCUUUAACAAUACAGCCACCCCGUACACUCUCCCAGUUCUGUCCUCGAAUCUGUGUGUGUUAACAAGAUUAUCUUUUAUUUUUUCAUCUUUAUUGGUGACAUGUUGUCAUGGUUUAUUCAAAUGACAAACUUUGGCUUUCUCUGUUUUAAUCCUGAGGUAUUAGUCACUGGUCGCUAAUGCCAGAUUACUUUCCUAGCCAUUCUUCAUGUGAUAAACGACUGGCAGGCAGCAGCAAAAAAUAGAUCAAAACCACUGGGAAUGAGAGGAGGAAAAAAAAAAAAAGGAAGGAAGGAGCUGAAAGAGCGGUAAAUCAUUUUACUGAGACACCCAACAGGGCUGGAAAAUGCCACCCAUGAUUCCUCUGCCACAGCUAAUCAAAGACCACAUGGUGAUUAGGGAGGAGAGGAUGGGACGCUCACUCUCCUUCCAUCUUGAACAAGCUUUUAGUGAAUCAGUGUACUGACAAUAUCCUUUCUAUUAGAUAUAUUAAGUUAAACAGUAUCUGUAAAAAUGGCUUGUUCUGUACAUCUUUUAUGGUGCCAUUCCAAGUGCAACUUCAGAAAACAAACAAGAUGUAUGGAAAAGACAAAAAUACUUAAUAAUCAAAAAAACAAAACCAGCAGCACUUGUGGAGUGGACAAAUGACAGAUUGAAAAUGUAAAGCAAAAAGGAGUAAAAGAGCAUGAAUAGAGAAAACUCAUUUAAAUGCAAACAAAGACAAGAUACAAUCUUGCAAUCAACCAAUCAGAGAGUUAGAACAAAUCAGAUUAUAUUUCUCAACUCUACAAGUCUACUGGUUUUGUUUUUGUGUUCAUUCUAGUUCCACAACUGUCUAAUGUCAGACUGAUAAACAAAUUUAUGUGUCAGCAGUGACAAUUCAGUAUUAAAAACUGCCCCAUCCUUUGACAGUGAGAUGACAAGUAGGGUGCUUUUAUUCCUAAACAACACAAGAAAUGAUGGCAGUUGUGUUGGUCUUAAAAAAAUUUUUAACAAUAUUUUUAACAAUAUUCCAUAUAAUUUCAGUCUGACAGCAAUGAUUUCAGUGGCACAUUUCAGCGAUGAUUGUCUUGUGAACCUCUUACAAUAUUAUUCAGGUUUUGUAAAGAAGCUGUUAUUAAUGGAUGUGUAGAUGUGUAAAGGAACCCUGCAGCCUGGGAUUCAAAAUUCACAACAAAACAUUUACAUAGCAG